UUCUUAUCAAGAGAGGUGGAGGGACUGGCCCUUAGAAGCCUCGGCAGCGGACUCAUAUGAGUACUGUGCCAAAUCCAGCAAACAAGUAGUUUGUAAGAUAAGAA
This 104-nucleotide non-coding RNA is filed under the name Virgibacillus chiguensis. RNAcentral's name for it is "SAM-I sequence". It matches the Rfam family "SAM riboswitch aptamer (S box leader)". From Rfam's summary of the family: The SAM riboswitch is found upstream of a number of genes which code for proteins involved in methionine or cysteine biosynthesis in Gram-positive bacteria. The SAM riboswitch acts at the level of transcription termination control. The predicted structure consists of a complex stem-loop region followed by a single stem loop terminator region. Lineage: Bacteria; Bacillati; Bacillota; Bacilli; Caryophanales; Bacillaceae. The record is from RNAcentral.